RNAcentral lists this ribosomal RNA (434 nucleotides) under uncultured Lachnospiraceae bacterium. RNAcentral describes it as "bacterial SSU rRNA". It matches the Rfam family "Bacterial small subunit ribosomal RNA", at positions 341 to 792 of the family's 1533-position model. The record is from RNAcentral. Lineage: Bacteria; Bacillati; Bacillota; Clostridia; Lachnospirales; Lachnospiraceae.
ACGGGAGGCAGCAGUGGGGGAUAUUGCACAAUGGGGGAAACCCUGAUGCAGCGACGCCGCGUGAGUGAUGAAGUAUUUCGGUAUGUAAAGCUCUAUCAGCAGGAAAGAUAAUGACGGUACCUGACUAAGAAGCACCGGCUAACUACGUGCCAGCAGCCGCGGUAAUACGUAGGGGGCAAGCGUUAUCCGGAUUUACUGGGUGUAAAGGGAGCGUAGACGGCAUAGCAAGUCUGAAGUGAAAAUCCAGAGCUCAACUCUGGAACUGCUUUGGAAACUGCCAGGCUAGAGUGCAGGAGGGGCAAGCGGAAUUCCUAGUGUAGCGGUGAAAUGCGUAGAUAUUAGGAGGAACACCGGUGGCGAAGGCGGCUUGCUGGACUGUAACUGACGUUGAGGCUCGAAAGCGUGGGGAGCAAACAGGAUUAGAUACCCUGGUA